ACUGCGAAUGGCUCAUUAAAUCAGUUAUCGUUUAUUUGAUAAUACCUUACUACUUGGAUAACCGUGGUAAUUCUAGAGCUAAUACAUGCUGAAAAUCCCGACUUCGGAAGGGAUGUGUUUAUUAGAUAAAAAACCAAUGCCCUUCGGGGCUUUUUGGUGAUUCAUGAUAACUUUACGGAUCGCAUAGCCUUGCGCUGGCGACGGUUCAUUCAAAUUUCUGCCCUAUCAACUUUCGAUGGUAAGGUAUUGGCUUACCAUGGUUUCAACGGGUAACGGGGAAUUAGGGUUCGAUUCCGGAGAGGGAGCCUGAGAAACGGCUACCACAUCCAAGGAAGGCAGCAGGCGCGCAAAUUACCCAAUCCCGACACGGGGAGGUAGUGACAAUAAAUACUGAUACAGGGCUCUUUUGGGUCUUGUAAUUGGAAUGAGUACAAUUUAAACCUCUUAACGAGGAACAAUUGGAGGGCAAGUCUGGUGCCAGCAGCCGCGGUAAUUCCAGCUCCAAUAGCGUAUAUUAAAGUUGUUGCAGUUAAAAAGCUCGUA
This 543-nucleotide ribosomal RNA is filed under the name Stemphylium vesicarium. Its description in RNAcentral is "SSU rRNA". It matches the Rfam family "Eukaryotic small subunit ribosomal RNA", at positions 86 to 632 of the family's 1831-position model. The record is from RNAcentral. Lineage: Eukaryota; Fungi; Ascomycota; Dothideomycetes; Pleosporales; Pleosporaceae.